Long non-coding RNA from Mus caroli (Ryukyu mouse), 672 nucleotides. RefSeq lists it as uncharacterized. The record is from RefSeq and is a predicted model, not a curated record. Lineage: Eukaryota; Metazoa; Chordata; Mammalia; Rodentia; Muridae.
GCUGAGCAGGCGUGGGAAACGGCUGUCGUUUGUACUCGAAUAAUCCUGAAAGUCAGUAGAGCAAUAUUCAGGUCCCUGAGGACUUGGCAUUCCACACCUCUUCUGGCUCCAGGAGAUGGAGAAGAGUUGAUUCAAACCUUCCACUCAAACACUCCAGCAAGCCGGGACUGCUGUGUAACAUCAGCGUCCUCUUACCAUAUGUCCAAAGGGAGUGCAUGUCUCUCUCCUCCAGCCAACGAAACUUGGGGGCUCAAUUCUGACGGGACCAACUAAGGUCAUGUGACCAGCAUGUCCAGUUACUGCGACUGAGAGAUACCAUACGCGGAUUGGCCACAGCAUCCGUUCCUUACCCAUGUCUGGCUUAUUCAGAGUCUUAAAGUGGGUACCACCAUGCUUAGUAACUUUGGCCAUUCAUAACCCACCAUGGAGGCCUUGAGCUAUAGAUAAGAGGAAACCGAAGUCUGUGCGGGAAGAGAGCUGUCCCAACAAUGUCUAGAAAGUGACACAGUCAGAUUCGCAGCAUACUGGUCUCAUCCAGAACCAUGCUUCACCACUGGCCCGUCUGCCUGCUGUUCCCCUGUGCUUGGACCCCAGGACUGAGUGGGACCAGCAAGUCCAUGACACCCACAAGGCUGACGCUCUGUAUGGAUGCUCUUCUCUUCUGACCUCUUA